RNAcentral lists this ribosomal RNA (1231 nucleotides) under Auritibicen bihamatus. Its description in RNAcentral is "16S ribosomal RNA". The stretch from base 809 to 1179 matches the Rfam family "Archaeal large subunit ribosomal RNA", at positions 2151 to 2715 of the family's 2987-position model. The record is from RNAcentral. Lineage: Eukaryota; Metazoa; Arthropoda; Insecta; Hemiptera; Cicadidae.
GUAUUUAAUAUUUAUAUAAAUAUAUAUUUAUCUUUUUAUUAAAAACAAUUUUACUGUUUGAGUAUAUUAUACAGACUCAAUUAUUUCUUCAAUCUGAAAAAGAAUUAAUAAUUAAAUUUUUUCAAGUAAAAUUUUUAUUUGUACCUUUUGUAUCAGGGUAAAUUAAAUAUAUUUAAGAAUUUUAUUUUUCCCGAAAUAUAAUGAUUUAAGAUAAAUUGAUAGUUAUUGUUGAAUAAAUAUUAAUAAACUUAUCAUAGAAAUGAAACUUUAACAAAUUAUAUGAUAUCUGGUUUUUUAAGAAUUGAAUUGAAUUCAGGAUUAUUAAUAUAACUUUUUCUUAACUGAUAAGUUAUUUUUUUAAUCAAAUUAUGUUAAGGAUAAGCUAAACAUAAUAACUAUAUUUUACAAUGAAAAAAAAUUAAUAGGCUUAAAAACAGCCAUUUUAGAAUAAGUUAAAUUUCAUAAUUUAUUGUUUUUUAUUUGAGUAUUUGUUAGGUAAAUAUUAAAAAUAUAAAAAUAAUUUUUAUUUUAAAUUAAAAUGAUUUAAUUAGUAUAAUGAGUUUUAUUUAAUUUAUGAAUUAGGCAAUUAAAAUUUCCACCUGUUUAUCAAAAACAUGUCUUUUAGAAAAUAAUUAAAAGUCUAAUCUGCCCAAUGAUUAUUGAAUGGCCGCGGUAAUCUAACCGUGCAAAGGUAGCAUAAUAAUUAGUCUUUUAAUUGAAGGCUGGUAUGAAGGAUUGGAUGAGAAAUUAGCUUUAUUAACAAAACUAAUUUAAAUUUAAUUUUUAGGUAAAAAAGCCUAAAUUAAUAAGUAGGACGAGAAGACCCUAUAGAGUUUAAAAAUUACUCAUAUUUAUAAAUCUUAGAAAAACAUAAUUAUAUAAUUAUAGAGUUAUUUUUGUAUUGGGGUGAUAUUGAAAUGUAUGUAACUUUUAAUUAUUUUAACAUUAAUUAAUGUUAAAUUGAUCCAUUAUAUUUUUUAUGAGAAAAAGACUAAAUUACCUUAGGGAUAACAGCGUUAUUAAUUUGGAGAGUUCACAUCGAUAAAUUAGUUUGCGACCUCGAUGUUGGAUUAAGAUAAGAUUUUGGGGUAGAUAUUAAUAAUCUAGGUCUGUUCGACCUUUUAAUUCUUACAUGAUCUGAGUUCAAACCGGCGUGAGCCAGGUUGGUUUCUAUCCACUCAAUAUACUUUUAAUAUUAGUACGAAAGGACCAUGUUAAAUAAUAAAAUUAU